RNAcentral lists this long non-coding RNA (395 nucleotides) under Gossypium raimondii (Peruvian cotton). RNAcentral's name for it is "long non-coding RNA (GRAI_LNC011148)". The record is from RNAcentral. Lineage: Eukaryota; Viridiplantae; Streptophyta; Magnoliopsida; Malvales; Malvaceae.
CAGCAUCGCACGAAAGGGGCUAUUUUGAGCCUCCCCUUUGAGCCCUGUUCCAAGGCCGAAUCCUUCAGGCCCGAAGUCUGAAGGAAAAGAGAGACCCAUGCCCUCCCUCGGUCCGAUCUCUGCGGCCAUAAAGGGCUUCCGGCGAGGGUAUCAGUAAGGCGAUUCUGGGUAAGUCUCUCCUCUCCCUCUCCUUUAUUGUUUUCUUUUUAUUUAACAAAUUCGUAAAACAAAAUAAAAAUAAAAUAAAAAAUAAAAAACGACGAGUAAAAAUCGAAAAAAAUCAACCUCUGUUGUUCUUAUUUCCGAUAUUCUAAGAUAUGUCCCCCUAAAAAUACAUGCCUCUGUUCGGGAUUUAUGAAAAAAAUACAAAAUGCUCUUCUCUCCUCUUCUCUCUG